GCCUUCAUGAAGCCGGAAUUGCUAGUAAUGGCAGGUCAGCAUACUGCCGUGAAUACGUUCCCGGGCCUUGUACACACCGCCCGUCACACCAUGAGAGUUAGGAAUACCCGAAGCCUGUGAGCCAACUUUAUAAGAGGCAGCAGUCGAAGGUAGAACUAAUGAUUGGGGUGAAGUCGUAACAAGGUAGC
This 188-nucleotide ribosomal RNA is filed under the name uncultured bacterium. Its description in RNAcentral is "partial 16S ribosomal RNA". It matches the Rfam family "Bacterial small subunit ribosomal RNA", at positions 1314 to 1500 of the family's 1533-position model. The record is from RNAcentral.